AUAAUAAAUUGUUUUUUAAUUGAAAACUGGAAUGAAGGAUUGAACGAAAAAUAAACUGUCUCAAAAUUAAUAAAUUUUGAAUUUAAUUUUUAAGUUAAAAAGCUUAAAUUUAAUUAUAGGACGAGAAGACCCUAUAGAAUUUAAUAAUUAUUUUAUUAAAAGUUAAAAAAUUUAAAUUUAAAUAAAAAUUAAUUAUUAUGUUGGGGUGACAAAGAAAUUAAAAUAAUUUUUUUAUUAUAUAAACAAUAAUAUUUGAAAUUUUGAUCCUAUUUUUUAGAUUAUUAGAAUAAAUUACCUUAGGGAUAACAGCGUUAUUUUUUUAUAAAGUUCAUAUUUAUAAAAAAGAUUGC
Molecule: ribosomal RNA, 350 nt
Filed under: Decameria sp. SS1
Lineage: Eukaryota; Metazoa; Arthropoda; Insecta; Hymenoptera; Pergidae
Description: partial 16S ribosomal RNA
Source: RNAcentral